This 64-nucleotide transfer RNA is filed under the name Laticauda colubrina (yellow-lipped sea krait). RNAcentral describes it as "tRNA-His". The record is from RNAcentral. Lineage: Eukaryota; Metazoa; Chordata; Lepidosauria; Squamata; Elapidae.
GUGUGUGUAAUUUAAAAAAAAUAUCAAGCCGUGACCUUGAUAAUAGGAGCCCUCCUCACACACC